Molecule: small RNA, 790 nt
Filed under: Rattus norvegicus (Norway rat)
Lineage: Eukaryota; Metazoa; Chordata; Mammalia; Rodentia; Muridae
Description: uncharacterized LOC108349507
Source: RNAcentral
CCUGUGAAGACCAGAUAACAGCAUUAAUGUAGGUUGACAAUAAGAGAACGGAUGGAGUCAGCGAGACCCCAGACCCCACUGCCCAGACCUCCUGACUUACACUCACACCAAUGAGUCUGUCAGGAGAAAGCUGAACAAAUGAACUGCUCUUUAUUCCUAGGUCACUCUCAAAGGUUAGACAACUGAAGAUCACUUGCUCAAAAGAAGAUAGAAAUUAACUCUUACACCUUUUAUCUUUAUUUUGCAGAGUUUUUUUUCUUAUAGAAUUUUUGAGGUCCAAUACAAAACUAAUUAAUUCCUUCAGGAGUUUUAUGGCACAUAGGUGGCUUUUAGAGAUCGAAUUUUCCUCCCCUCCAGAAGACCAGAAUAAAAAUAAAAUUGACCCUCGUGAUCCCAGGAAGUUAUGAUCUAUACAAUCAUCACAACAAUGAAUUCGUGAUCACCAAGCCACUACCCCCAGGGAAUUUUAGUUUUCCUUGGAACUGCAUAGUCUGGUGUUUUAAAGAGACAGAAAGACGACAUGCUGUUCACAGAGCCGACUCAAGUGUGUGAAGGAGGACAGGAGCACACAUCUACCCAAGUGUUUGCUGGCCUACCCAGCCAUCGGCCAUUUUCUGCAGGAGUUUCCUGGAACUUAGUCCUGAGAGCGAUCAAGCUUUACCUUUACUCUGCAAAUCAGCACUCCUCUCCUUUAAUAAGAAGACAAGGACGGCUUGAUUUUUAUUACUCUAGAAUAUACAGUGUAUGUUUAAACGCUGCAUAGAGCUUGGGCAUUUGUGAUAAGAUAAUA